GGGCGCAUAGCUCAGCUGGUUAGAGCACCAAACUUAUAAUUUGGGGGUCCCUGGUUCGAGCCCAGGUGCGCCCACCA
This 77-nucleotide transfer RNA is filed under the name Candidatus Yanofskybacteria bacterium RIFOXYB1_FULL_44_29. RNAcentral describes it as "tRNA-Ile". It matches the Rfam family "tRNA". From Rfam's summary of the family: Transfer RNA (tRNA) molecules are approximately 80 nucleotides in length. Their secondary structure includes four short double-helical elements and three loops (D, anti-codon, and T loops). The record is from RNAcentral. RNAcentral also lists the same sequence under 3 other names. Lineage: Bacteria; Candidatus Yanofskyibacteriota.